UCNGUGAAACAGACUGGUUCCUGCUGCC
RNAcentral lists this non-coding RNA (28 nucleotides) under Mus musculus (house mouse). The record is from RNAcentral. Lineage: Eukaryota; Metazoa; Chordata; Mammalia; Rodentia; Muridae.